ACUUAGCAGCCAAAAAUUGCUGGCCGUUGUCCCCAACCGCCCCAAUUUAGUUGAAUUGUUGCGGUUCCUACUACGUAAUUAACCCCCGCUCCAAAUAAUUUGACCCGAGGCGGUAUUGGGCCCUCACCGCAGCAAAUAACUUUGGGGGGGAGGGGAUUUUGCUUCACUAAAAUCCCCAAACCAAAAUUAUUUUGCGCCAUAAACCUUCAUUAUUUGGCGCGAGAACCCUUCGUUAGAGCCAAGGCACAGUCAAUCAUUGGUCUCCUUCCCCGCCUUCGUUAUCCUUCCCUCUGUCAGAUCCAACUGCGUCCGCUUCAUCAUUCGUUCCGGUCACCAGGCUCCUCCCUCAGUCGUGUAGCUCCCGUGCACGAAGGUAAAGUAGGAGGGGUCGUCCGAGUCUUCUCCUUCUGCCGUGCAUGUGUGUGACGUCGUCGGCGUCGUCCCAAGCCAUCCGUCCCUGUGUCAUCCUUGGCAGCCUUCUCCCCUUUGGCCCUACUUUGUGUUGCCGAUUGCAAUAGACUCCCCUCUCAGUUCUUCAUCGAACUAAGCUGAAAAAUUGUAGCUCUCUGAUUACAACUUUUAUGAAUAUAAUGUUUACCCAAGUAAGCCACUCUGGCGGAGCUCUGUUCCAUUAUUUGCUACUAUAAAUCUUGAAGUAGCUUCAUUGCACUUGAGCAGGUUCUCUGACAAGCGGAUAUCUCGUAGAUCUGAAAUAAAUUACCUGGGGUGUAUUCCUGCACCUGCAACUGUGACAGUUUGAUAACAUUGACUUAGACUUAUCACAGUCCUUGGAGCUAUAUUAUCCGAUAACUUCACAGCUCCUACUCCAGAAUCAAAGCUUCCUUCAGCUUACACUUGUUCUCUUCAGGCACGCUAUCAGAAUAGGUUGCAGGUUGAACUUGAAAUUGCAUCUCGGGAGGAAUUCACUCUUAUAGAAAUAGGUCUUAGGAAACUUUGGGAACAUUUGGCUCGGAAAAAGACUCAAGAAAAUCUGAAAGAGACAGGUGAGAUAGUUCAAAAUUCAAUGCUCGAAGAAGACGUUGUGCCAGAUAGUUCUGAUGAGGUUGUCUCUAAAGGACAACAACCUUCCAUCAUAACCUUUGA
Molecule: non-coding RNA, 1104 nt
Organism: Arachis ipaensis
Lineage: Eukaryota; Viridiplantae; Streptophyta; Magnoliopsida; Fabales; Fabaceae
Source: RefSeq, a predicted model, not a curated record